This is a long non-coding RNA of Balaenoptera musculus (blue whale), 1212 nucleotides long. RefSeq lists it as uncharacterized. The record is from RefSeq and is a predicted model, not a curated record. Lineage: Eukaryota; Metazoa; Chordata; Mammalia; Artiodactyla; Balaenopteridae. The transcript has 3 exons.
CCUACCAAGGUGGAAGAUAAAAGGACCAAAGACUAAGCCCUGGGUCACUCUAACAUUAAUAGUUUGGGGAAAGGAGGAAGAACCAGCAAAGGAGAUGGAGAAGAUACAACCAGUGAAGUGGGAAGAAAACCAAGAGAAUCUGGAUUCUGGAAGCCAAGUAAAGAAAACAUACAAUGGAAGAGAGAGGGAUCAACCUUGUGAAAUGCUGCUGAUUGCUCAAGUAUAUGAUGACUAAGAAUUGACCUUUGGAUUUGACAACAUGAAUGUCAUUAGUGAUCUUGAUUAGAGUAGUUUUGGUAGUGGUAGAGGCAAAAGUCUGAUUGCAGUAGGUUUAACAAAAAAUGGGAGGAGAGGAAUUGGACUGAUUACGUUGAGGAGUUUUGUUGCAAAGGAGAGCAAAGAAAUGGAACAGUAACUGGUAAAGAGUGAGUCAGUCUCCCUCAUGUGUGCUAAAUCCUGCUGACACAUCCUUGUUCAUGCCUGGAAUACCUAAACUCAGAAAGUUGGUGUUGAUUGAUUGCAAACACCCUGGAAGUUGCAGGUGAGGCUCAUCUGUACAUGUGAAAGAGGAGGCCACUUUUCCAUCCUUUGAUGUCCCCUCCACCUGAGAGCCCACAAGCUGGCUUUGGAGCACUGCAGGUGAACCUCCAACUCUUCCUGGAACGAAGAAGUCUCUCCAAGAGAAGGGUUAGCAGAAGUAGGAAGCAAACGACUUGAGAAAAGAAACAGUAUAGGAAGAGGAAAUUCUUGACAGUGAGAAUGGUUUAAAGAGGGUUGUGUUUUUAUUUUUAACAGCACCCAUUCAUUGGAUAAAUAAUCAUCUUCCAUGUGUGGGCACUUCUGUGUAUGGGCACUGUGCUAGCAAUAGGGAUGCAAUGGUAAGGAGAUAGAGGGAGUCCCUGCCCUCCUGACACUUGCAGUUUAGUGUCUGAACAUAGUUUGAGUAGUACUGUGACCUUACUUCUUCAGUGUGGUGCCUAUCACCCCCUAGAUAAUUUUGCUUCACUUAUAAUUAGCUAGAGUCACUUCUGUAUUUUGUUGGUUGAUGAAUACCAUAACCCCAUAAAACUCUUACAGGUGCUCUUAGACCAUGGGGUUAAUUGUGAUGCAGGUCAGGACACGUCUUCAUGUAGUGUACUUAAAACUAGUACAUCUUUUUUCUAACAUUUUGUAGAACAGCACUGUCCAACAGAAAUUUAAUGUAAGCCACAG